UACGUAGGGGGCAAGCGUUGUCCGGAAUUAUUGGGCGUAAAGGGCGCGUAGGCGGCCUGGCAAGUGGAAGGUGAAAUCCCUCGGCUUAACCGAGGAACUGCCUCCCAAACUGCUUGGCUUGAGACCGGGAGAGGUGAGUGGAAUUCCCAGUGUAGCGGUGAAAUGCGUAGAUAUUGGGAGGAACACCAGUGGCGAAGGCGGCUCACUGGACCGGUACUGACGCUGAUGCGCGAAAGCGUGGGGAGCAAACGGG
Molecule: ribosomal RNA, 253 nt
Filed under: uncultured bacterium
Lineage: Bacteria
Description: partial 16S ribosomal RNA
Rfam family: Bacterial small subunit ribosomal RNA
Source: RNAcentral